RNAcentral lists this ribosomal RNA (247 nucleotides) under uncultured Candidatus Saccharibacteria bacterium. Its description in RNAcentral is "partial 16S ribosomal RNA". It matches the Rfam family "Bacterial small subunit ribosomal RNA", at positions 796 to 1041 of the family's 1533-position model. Lineage: Bacteria; Candidatus Saccharimonadota. The record is from RNAcentral.
CACGCCGUAAACGAUGGAUACUAGCUGUUGGAGGUAUCGACCCCUUCAGUAGCGAAGCUAACGCGUUAAGUAUCCCGCCUGUGUAGUACGAUCGCAAGAUUAAAACAUAAAGGAAUUGACGGGGACCCGCACAAGCGGUGGAGCGUGUUCUUUAAUUCGAUGAUAAACGAUAAACCUUACCAGGGCUUGACAUCCUUGGAAUUUCUACGAAAGUAGAAAGUGCCUUCGGGAACCAAGUGACAGGUGA